This 77-nucleotide transfer RNA is filed under the name Coxiella endosymbiont of Amblyomma nuttalli. Its description in RNAcentral is "tRNA-Arg". It matches the Rfam family "tRNA". From Rfam's summary of the family: Transfer RNA (tRNA) molecules are approximately 80 nucleotides in length. Their secondary structure includes four short double-helical elements and three loops (D, anti-codon, and T loops). The record is from RNAcentral. Lineage: Bacteria; Pseudomonadati; Pseudomonadota; Gammaproteobacteria; Legionellales; Coxiellaceae.
GCGCCCGUAGCUCAGUUGGAUAGAGUAGCCGGCUUCGAACUGGUUGGUCGGGGGUUCAAAUCCCUCCGGGCGCGCCA